UACGGGGGAUGCAAGCGUUGUCCGGAAUCAUUGGGCGUAAAGAGUUCGUAGGUGGCACGUUAAGUCUGGUGUUAAAUGCAGGGGCUCAACCUCUGUUCGGCACUGGAUACUGGCGAGCUUGAAUGCGGUAGAGGUAAAGGGAAUUCCUGGUGUAGCGGUGAAAUGCGUAGAUAUCAGGAGGAACAUCGGUGGCGUAAGCGCUUUACUGGGCCGUAAUUGACACUGAGGAACGAAAGCCAGGGUAGCAAAUGGG
This 253-nucleotide ribosomal RNA is filed under the name uncultured bacterium. Its description in RNAcentral is "partial 16S ribosomal RNA". It matches the Rfam family "Bacterial small subunit ribosomal RNA", at positions 524 to 776 of the family's 1533-position model. The record is from RNAcentral.